This 3445-nucleotide long non-coding RNA is filed under the name Homo sapiens (human). RNAcentral's name for it is "HSALNT0169980". Lineage: Eukaryota; Metazoa; Chordata; Mammalia; Primates; Hominidae. The record is from RNAcentral.
GUCGAUUCCACAUUUUCAGAUAUCUUUUCGGCAGCACCCCACUCUCAGUAUCAAUUUAUUAUAUUAGUCCAUUUUCAUGCUGCUGAUAAAGACAUACCCAAGACUGGGCAAUUUACCAAAAACAAAAGAAGAAGUUUAAUGAACUUAUAGUACCACAUGGCUGAGGAAGCCUCAAAUCAUGGUGGAAGUCAAAGAGGAGGAAGUCAUGUCUUACAUGGAUGGCAGCAGGCAAACAGAGAGCUUGUGUAGGCCAACUCCCACUUUUAAAACCAUCAGAUCUCAUGAGACCCAUUCACUAUCACAAGGACAGCACAGGAAAGACCUGCCCCCAUAAUUCAAUCAUCUCCCACUGAAUCCCUCCCAAAAUAUGUGGAAAUUAUGGGAGCUACAAGAUGAGAUUUGAGUGGGGACACAGAGCCAAACCAUAUCAGUACUCUAGUACUCUCCUGCACCAGGCUGGAUGUGAGCAGCCAAUUUUAUGGAGGAGGGAGCUGAAUCACUAGAGGUUGACCCCUGGCCCAAGUUAUUCUAUUGCUUCCAAUGUUGUUACCUCCCACUAUGUGGAAAGCAUUACAGUUCAAGUCAGGGAUCUCAGAAAUCCACAUACAGCCAUAGAAUAAUCUGAAACCUAGAAGGUUCACUCAGCGAGCCUUUCUUGGUUUACCUGAUAUUUGCAUCUGCAUAUGCACACACACACACACACACACACACACACACACACACACACACACACCAAGCAGCCUUAUCUAACUUAUCAUGUUAGACACCUCCUCAUAGCCAGCUCCAUGCCCCCUUCCCACCACUCCUCCAGAACAGGCUUCCAGAUAUUUUGAUCGAUUCCAUUCUCCUUUCAACCUUCCUGAGUUCCUGGCCAAAUCAGUAACUUUUGUAUUUCAGACCUUUCAGAUAAUCCGACUAUUGUAAGUAUGGCUGCAUCAUUUUGGUAAGUACUAAUGAACUUUCCUUUCACUCCAUCACAGAUAACAGAAAAAAAUAUUUGUAAUGCAUUUAAUUUUAUGGUAAUUGUUUAUAAUUUGCUAAGAAAUAGAUAAAAUACAAUGCAUUUUGGAAUAUAUAGACCCUUUAAGGCCAUGUAAUUUAGUCACUUCCUUCUAUACUGUUUCUCUAUCUACUUCUGACUUCUCUGUUACCUACUUGUAUUAUUCUUUCAUUCACUUGCUCAUUCAUUACUUUGUUCAUGAAGAUGUCUUGAAUGCCUGCCCUGCAUGAGUUCUGGUCAGGCACUGGUGGUAUAGCAGGGAACACAGCUCAGACGCACCAAUCAUUCAACUGGGUUAUAGUGAUCUAUCUCCAUAACAGCUUGCCCAGCUAGGAGAGAGCUCAGAAGUGGAGUCUUAUCCAGCUCGGUAUUGUCAGGGCCCAGCAUGGUACCUGUUACAGAACAAAACUCAACAAUGCCAUGUACAUGUGACCCCAGGGUUAAAAUGCAACAUUAACCGUGUCCCAGGCCCUGUUGGCAUAGCCAUUUUCUGGAACCAAUCCUGGCUGUGACCUCUGACCUUGUCAUGGCCCCCAUCACACCUCUUUCUGGACCUCACCAGUUCUUAGUCGUCACUUUCUAGUUUUCCUUUGUCUGGUUCUUUGCUUUUGACUGAGUCAUUCAUCCACAAUCUUCUUCUAGCCUGAGCCUCUGCUGAGCCACUGAGCUGAGCCAAGGAUGACUGCUGUGCCCCCAAUUUGUUUUUCCUACUGCUUUUUGCAGUCAUCAAGCCUGCAUCCAAGCUGUGCAAACCUAGAGGCUCAGCUGCUGCCCAAGAGUCAGGGGGGCCAUGUCCUGGCUUACUCUGGCCUGACUUUGUAGGUGACCCAUUUACCGAGAAAGGCCAGCUCUCCACUGUCUCUGCUGUGUAAUGGGCAGGCCCAGGAUGGGGUUGUUUGAGUGGCUGUUUAUAGGUGGGUAUGGGGUUCUUAUCAUUGGGUGAAAGUAUCUCCUAGGCAGCUGAUCUCAAUUUCCAAGGGCAGAGAAACAUCUCAGCAUUCAUCUCUACUAAGAGUUCUAUUAAAGCUCACUGUGUCCCAGUGGGUCCAUAGGAGAGAAAACAGAGGAAGUUGUGAGUGAAUUUGGAGAUUUAUGAGGCCAGAGUACAUUUAUUAUACUUGACUUUUGGGGAGGUGGUGGGGCAGGGUGUCCCAAAUCAACAGACUUGAGGGGGACUCAGCUGCAGAGCCCAGAGGCCCUGGCCUUUCCGCAGCAGCCCCAGCUUGCUGUGAGACCCUGCACUAUGGGCCGUGCUCCCCACGGGCUGUCAGACCCACACUCUUCAGCAGCACAAAUUCACUUUUCAAAGUGUAACUCUGCCUCACUGGGCUAUGAAUGUUUAUUUUCUACUUCACAUAUGUGGUGGGAGAGUAGGAUUUUGCAUUAUAUCGACUUUUAAUAUUCUACGGGAAAUAUAAGAUAUGAGAAACUGUUUAAAUUAUGUACGGAAAAGAGCAGAAAGCAUGUAGGAUAUGGACAUAGAGUGUCUGUGUGGGUUUGGGUGUGUUUCGUGGAAGGAUAUACAACAUUUCUCACCAUUGUUGAUGUCUUUGGACUUUCUGGCUUUCACUCUGUUGAUUAAAUUGAUUACAUGCAUAUCUGUCAACCUGCAGUGUAAAAUACUGGAUGGAGUCUGGUGGUCUGAUUUCUUUCUUUUUUUGUUUUGUUUUGUUUUGUUUUUGGUUCAUUUCUUCAUUCAUUCAAUUGAACUUUGCUUAUUCCCACAGGCAAAGCCCAUCCACAUGGGCCAUUUAUACCAUAUUUAAAUAGAUCAAAAUCACCUUGUGCUCUUCAAGGGCAGAGGUAGUGACUUUGUCAUCCCUCCCCUUCCCACUGACAUUUAGAACAGAGCUGGAACAGCGCAGAUGAUCAACACGUGUUUGCGGAACACAGAAAUUUACCCUAGGAAAUGAGUCAUGGUGAAAUUAAUUAAUGAACUGUAUGGAGAAAGAAAAGCAGUAUUUUUUUUCCACCGCCUGUCGACUCCCUGAUCUUCACAUUACUGCUCCCUCCUGCCCUGGUGGGCCUGAAGAGUCCAUCUGCCCCCUCCCCAGCCCUUACCCCCAGCACCAGGCAUGUGACUCCAGUCUGGUCACACAGAACUGUUUCUUGGUGCUCGACAUUCUGAAGACAAGAGGGUUGUGACGUGAGAGAUGUGACCCCAGAACACUGCAAGGAAGGGUCUGGGCAGGACUGACAUGAGGUGAGGGGAGCAGGGACCCAAGGGUCUGGGGAUGAUCCAGUUGCUGCAAUGACUCUUGGGUCUGUGCAGCACCUGGGAAUAUAGAGAAAAUGCCCAAAAGGUGGUCGGAUUCUGCCACUGGCACCCAAAGUGUCCCAAGUCUUCCAAAGAUGUGCUCUGUGGGCUGUGGCACUGCCACUUCCGCUACCCAGUGUCUUCUUUUUAUCUUAGAGUUGUUACUAGGACAUCGGGCCAGAUUUGAC